Non-coding RNA from Toxotes jaculatrix (banded archerfish), 598 nucleotides. The record is from the annotation of a RefSeq genome assembly. Lineage: Eukaryota; Metazoa; Chordata; Actinopteri; Toxotidae.
GCUCCACUAGAGGGCGACAUUAUGAAGUAGGCGGUGCACUACUUGUGCUCUCUGUUCAAGCAUUGUGUCAAUAAUAACUGCUGCUGUGAAGAGAAGAAUUGUCAGACUCAGUGUUGAACAUCAGCUACUUUCUCCUGUUGCUUUAAACCUUCUUGUAGAGAUGGAACAUUGGCUGUGGAUGAUUCUUGCUGCUCUUUUCUUUGAGUGUAAAGGAGAAGACAGAGUGAUCCAGGAAACAGGAGAUGUCAUUGCUGCUGAAGGAGAGACAGUUAUACUCCCUUGUAAAUAUGAGACCAGUGACCCAGGUCCAACUUUGUUCUGGUACAAACAAGAAGCAAAUGAUUUUCCAAAGCUUCUGCUGCAGCGCUUCCCAACAACAGCAGGUAAUCCUGCAGAUAAACAGAAAGAGAGAAUCGAUGCUGUGGCCAACAAGACAUCAGUUCCUCUGGAGAUCCAGAAGCUUCAGCUGUCUGACUCUGCUGUGUACUACUGUGCUCUGAGGCCCACAGUGACAGGAAACAGCACAACUCUGUACAAAAACCUUUGGAGCAAAGACAACAGAAUACUCCACAACAUCCACUAGAGGGAGUCACACACU